Molecule: ribosomal RNA, 2607 nt
Rfam family: Bacterial large subunit ribosomal RNA
ACGAUAUGCUUUGGGGAGCUGUAAGUAAGCUUUGAUCCAGAGAUUUCCGAAUGGGGAAACCCAGCAUGAGUUAUGUCAUGUUAUCGAUAUGUGAAUACAUAGCAUAUCAGAAGGCACACCCGGAGAACUGAAACAUCUUAGUACCCGGAGGAAGAGAAAGAAAAUUCGAUUCCCUUAGUAGCGGCGAGCGAAACGGGAAGAGCCCAAACCAACAAGCUUGCUUGUUGGGGUUGUAGGACACUCUAUACGGAGUUACAAAGGACGACAUUAGACGAAUCAUCUGGAAAGAUGAAUCAAAGAAGGUAAUAAUCCUGUAGUCGAAAAUGUUGUCUCUCUUGAGUGGAUCCUGAGUACGACGGAGCACGUGAAAUUCCGUCGGAAUCUGGGAGGACCAUCUCCUAAGGCUAAAUACUCUCUAGUGACCGAUAGUGAACCAGUACCGUGAGGGAAAGGUGAAAAGCACCCCGGAAGGGGAGUGAAAUAGAACCUGAAACCGUGUGCUUACAAGUAGUCAGAGCCCGUUAAUGGGUGAUGGCGUGCCUUUUGUAGAAUGAACCGGCGAGUUACGAUUUGAUGCAAGGUUAAGCAGUAAAUGUGGAGCCGUAGCGAAAGCGAGUCUGAAUAGGGCGUUUAGUAUUUGGUCGUAGACCCGAAACCAGGUGAUCUACCCUUGGUCAGGUUGAAGUUCAGGUAACACUGAAUGGAGGACCGAACCGACUUACGUUGAAAAGUGAGCGGAUGAACUGAGGGUAGCGGAGAAAUUCCAAUCGAACCUGGAGAUAGCUGGUUCUCUCCGAAAUAGCUUUAGGGCUAGCCUCAAGUGAUGAUUAUUGGAGGUAGAGCACUGUUUGGACGAGGGGCCCCUCUCGGGUUACCGAAUUCAGACAAACUCCGAAUGCCAAUUAAUUUAACUUGGGAGUCAGAACAUGGGUGAUAAGGUCCGUGUUCGAAAGGGAAACAGCCCAGACCACCAGCUAAGGUCCCAAAAUAUAUGUUAAGUGGAAAAGGAUGUGGCGUUGCCCAGACAACUAGGAUGUUGGCUUAGAAGCAGCCAUCAUUUAAAGAGUGCGUAAUAGCUCACUAGUCGAGUGACACUGCGCCGAAAAUGUACCGGGGCUAAACAUAUUACCGAAGCUGUGGAUUGUCCUUUGGACAAUGGUAGGAGAGCGUUCUAAGGGCGUUGAAGCAUGAUCGUAAGGACAUGUGGAGCGCUUAGAAGUGAGAAUGCCGGUGUGAGUAGCGAAAGACGGGUGAGAAUCCCGUCCACCGAUUGACUAAGGUUUCCAGAGGAAGGCUCGUCCGCUCUGGGUUAGUCGGGUCCUAAGCUGAGGCCGACAGGCGUAGGCGAUGGAUAACAGGUUGAUAUUCCUGUACCACCUAUAAUCGUUUUAAUCGAUGGGGGGACGCAGUAGGAUAGGCGAAGCGUGCGAUUGGAUUGCACGUCUAAGCAGUAAGGCUGAGUAUUAGGCAAAUCCGGUACUCGUUAAGGCUGAGCUGUGAUGGGGAGAAGACAUUGUGUCUUCGAGUCGUUGAUUUCACACUGCCGAGAAAAGCCUCUAGAUAGAAAAUAGGUGCCCGUACCGCAAACCGACACAGGUAGUCAAGAUGAGAAUUCUAAGGUGAGCGAGCGAACUCUCGUUAAGGAACUCGGCAAAAUGACCCCGUAACUUCGGGAGAAGGGGUGCUCUUUAGGGUUAACGCCCAGAAGAGCCGCAGUGAAUAGGCCCAAGCGACUGUUUAUCAAAAACACAGGUCUCUGCUAAACCGUAAGGUGAUGUAUAGGGGCUGACGCCUGCCCGGUGCUGGAAGGUUAAGAGGAGUGGUUAGCUUCUGCGAAGCUACGAAUCGAAGCCCCAGUAAACGGCGGCCGUAACUAUAACGGUCCUAAGGUAGCGAAAUUCCUUGUCGGGUAAGUUCCGACCCGCACGAAAGGCGUAACGAUUUGGGCACUGUCUCAACGAGAGACUCGGUGAAAUCAUAGUACCUGUGAAGAUGCAGGUUACCCGCGACAGGACGGAAAGACCCCGUGGAGCUUUACUGUAGCCUGAUAUUGAAAUUCGGCACAGCUUGUACAGGAUAGGUAGGAGCCUUUGAAACGUGAGCGCUAGCUUACGUGGAGGCGCUGGUGGGAUACUACCCUAGCUGUGUUGGCUUUCUAACCCGCACCACUUAUCGUGGUGGGAGACAGUGUCAGGCGGGCAGUUUGACUGGGGCGGUCGCCUCCUAAAAGGUAACGGAGGCGCUCAAAGGUUCCCUCAGAAUGGUUGGAAAUCAUUCAUAGAGUGUAAAGGCAUAAGGGAGCUUGACUGCGAGACCUACAAGUCGAGCAGGGUCGAAAGACGGACUUAGUGAUCCGGUGGUUCCGCAUGGAAGGGCCAUCGCUCAACGGAUAAAAGCUACCCCGGGGAUAACAGGCUUAUCUCCCCCAAGAGUUCACAUCGACGGGGAGGUUUGGCACCUCGAUGUCGGCUCAUCGCAUCCUGGGGCUGUAGUCGGUCCCAAGGGUUGGGCUGUUCGCCCAUUAAAGCGGUACGCGAGCUGGGUUCAGAACGUCGUGAGACAGUUCGGUCCCUAUCCGUCGUGGGCGUAGGAAAUUUGAGAGGAGCU